AUUGAACGCUGGCGGCAGGCCUAACACAUGCAAGUCGAGCGGAUGAAGGGAGCUUGCUCCUGGAUUCAGCGGCGGACGGGUGAGUAAUGCCUAGGAAUCUGCCUGGUAGUGGGGGAUAACGUCCGGAAACGGGCGCUAAUACCUCAUACGUCCUGAGGGAGAAAGUGGGGGAUCUUCGGACCUCACGCUAUCAGAUGAGCCUAGGUCGGAUUAGCUAGUUGGUGGGGUAAAGGCCUACCAAGGCGACGAUCCGUAACUGGUCUGAGAGGAUGAUCAGUCACACUGGAACUGAGACAUGGUCCAGACUCCUACGGGAGGCAGCAGUGGGGAAUAUUGGACAAUGGGCGAAAGCCUGAUCCAGCCAUGCCGCGUGUGUGAAGAAGGUCUUCGGAUUGUAAAGCACUUUAAGUUGGGAGGAAGGGCAGUAAGUUAAUACCUUGCUGUUUUGACGUUACCAACAGAAUAAGCACCGGCUAACUUCGUG
RNAcentral lists this ribosomal RNA (484 nucleotides) under uncultured bacterium. RNAcentral describes it as "partial 16S ribosomal RNA". It matches the Rfam family "Bacterial small subunit ribosomal RNA", at positions 30 to 507 of the family's 1533-position model. The record is from RNAcentral.